RNAcentral lists this long non-coding RNA (926 nucleotides) under Pan troglodytes (chimpanzee). RNAcentral's name for it is "lincRNA". The record is from RNAcentral. Lineage: Eukaryota; Metazoa; Chordata; Mammalia; Primates; Hominidae.
AGUUGAGACUUCUCCAAGGGCCAUGGGGUUGACAUCUGUAUUCUCAGGGUCCUCGUAAGGAUUUCCAUUUUAUGUUCUUGUCUUCUCAUCAGUUUGAGUUGUGUCUUUAACAUUGGAGAGAAAAACAACUUGCAAGAUUUUCUUUCAGUAUGAACCAUUCUGAGGUCCUUCAAUUCUUUAGCUGAUUACCAACUCCUACCACUGUUAACCCUCAUCCAGGAAAAAGCUUAUGUCUUUAACAUUCUGAGUGGGCUUCAGCAUCCUUGCAUAUGUUCAAUUCUUAAAAACCUGUUGAAAUAAAAGAUCAGGAGACAUAGGAAGGAUGCCAGAAGAGAGCGUGGCCUCAUGUGUACCAGCUCUCUGCUCUCCUUUGCCUUGGGACGUUCCAUCCCUGGAAGUUUCCCUGCCCACAUCUUUGUAGAGAGUCCAUUCUCCAAGCUUCAGUGUGUCAUCUGUGAGGACUGUGACCAACCUGGUACAUCGCCUCAGGGCAUUCAUUUCAGGCUCCUUCUAAAUGGUCAAGGCACCCUUGGAAAUGCAAUGCUACAUCUCAAUGGGAUUUUCCAGUACAAAGAUUCUUUUCAAAUAACAUAAUUGUGGAUACACACCACUCCUACAGUGGUAAACCUCAGGUUCUCCUCCUGCCUUUUGCUAAGUAUAUGUCUUGAUGACAAGCCUUCUGCUGAUGAGCUGUGUUUCUGGACCGAUCAUGGUAGAAGUCAAUUAACGUGUCCCUCACUUGGGGUUUCUCAAGGCUGCACUGAUGAGGAAACUGAAACAGAAAAUCCAGAGUAAAUUCCACCAGGCCACACAGCAAGGUCUGAUAGAGCCAGGAGAGACUUUAUGAAAUCCAGACUCUCACACUAAUGCUCUAUCAGCUAGACCUCCAUGUGAGUCUCCCCAAUGUAGGUAGGAAGUGCUUUCCC